ACUCUGCCGCGCACACUUCACUACCCUCCGCACCCCCCCAUCCCCACCCCCCUUUUGCUUCCUCUGCCUUUCUAAUUCUCAAUCUGCUUAACCAGGCUUUAGAGGCCAAGCAAAUCUGAGAUCAAUUUUCUCGUUUAGCUCUAAGUGACAUCAUCUAAAAUCAUUGUGCAAGGGCUAAAUAAGGAAACGGAGUCUAAUUCAGGGGCAAACGCCAGGCUAUAUUUAUCAAACGCCAAGCUCCAGAAAGCCUCGGCUAGGAAGCCUCGGCAGUGAAAUCCGAGGUUUCGCUGCUUGGUUCCACUGGGCCUGGGUGGGCCGGGCUGGGCCGGGCUGGGCCGGGUCAGAUCUGUGCCACCUCCGCAGACCUAUUUCUUCCUCCAGGGCUCGGGGUUGCCCGCUCCCGGAAUCCCGGAGUCUCCGCGGCCCGAACCGAGUCUGGACCAUUUAGAAGACGCCGGCAGGUAACUGGCCUCCCCAAACGCCCCGAAAAUUAAAAGCCUUAGGAGGCUUGUUCUGUGUUUGUGGUUUUGUAAAGGCAAUGCCCGCGGCAAUAGGCCUGGGAAAGUCGCACUUUCAUCCACAAAGUUGAGGAGUUGCAAGGAAUAAUUGGGUGUCACACCACAAGCAACCUUGACUCGAUCGGACCCCACCCAGGAUACACACAGACGCGCGCGCGCGCACGCUUCCGAGUUUCCAUUGAGAGUCUGGAAAGAGCAUUUCUUUCUUAAGUACCUGCGCUCAGCUAGAGCUCUCCCGGAGCAUUUUAAAUACUGAAUGCCGAGCGGAGAAGGGAAACAGAGUGUAUUAAUCCCCACUCCGGUUGCCGGUGUCUGCAAGCCUCCUCUAAGCAGCGCAGGCGGCAGCCUGGAUGUCUGUGCGCAUCAAGGAGACUUGCCGGCGCCAGAGUUGUGUCCACAGGUGCACUUGUGCCUCCCAAAGAGCGCGCGUAGAGACCAUUUCCCCUGCAACGCCCCCCAGCCGAACACCCGCCGGGUGUGGCACCUCGGCCGAAACUCCUGGGGCGGCGCGGUGGAGCGUGUGGAGGUUUCCGGGAAGACGCCUACGGCUGCGGCUCCGACUGUGCGGGCUCCCGCCGCCCAGGCAAGAGCGUCCAGGAGCGCGCUGGAAGCUGCGGCGCGCACCUUCCCCGGCGCAGUCUCUUGCCAGCCGGCGAUCACGCAGAGCUGAACCCCGCAGCUAGGCGCGCAGGAAGGGCUGCACAGAGUUUGAAGACACGGCAGCUGUAAGCUGGCGUGAGGAGGCCAAAGGAGCGCGCAGAGCUGCAAGCAAAGGGCGGUGGGGCCUGGACCCUGAAGUGAGUGGCCGACCGCAGCAGCUCAAGGUGCCAUCUGCCUGGUGAGUUAACCCCACGUGGCUGUGAGACAGGUGGUGGCGGGUGUCAGGUAUUGGGCCAAGUGUAGUGGGGGCGUCCUUCUGCUAGAGCUCUGAAAAGGGUUGGCCCCGGAAGGCUGGAUAACGGCGGACUAGAAACCCUGGCAUUAUUAAGUCCCUGAGCAAUUUCACUCAAAGAUGCGAAACUGGACCUUAAACGAAGGAAAUUGACGUCAAAGUAUUCCCUCCUCUCUACCCCAUUCUCAACACAUGCCAGGCAAGCUACCCGGGUCCCUCCGCCCCACUCUAACUUUCCGCGAAAAUCAGUUCCGCCUCUGCCCCAAGAGCCAAGAGGGGUGGAAAGGAAGAGAGCUUGGGCUGGGAACGCGCCUGAUGUCUAACAGAAAGGCAGUGGCAGCUGGGUGAGUGGUGGGAAAGCUCACAGGCUGAAGAAAUGGGGGAGGGGGAGUGAGUCUUAUUGGAAGUUGAGGACAGCCAAGGGGCAAGAUGGGGGGAGAGGUCUGGCUGAAUACGACGGGCUUCAGCAGCUAGGCCUGGGAGUGCCUCGUUUCAGGCCUCGAGGUGGCUUCAGGCUGGGACAACUGAUGCAGCAGAGAAGGGCAGAGCGCCCGGGGGGAGAAAGCAAAGAGGCGCUACACUCCAAGGCGGCCCUUUGGAACCGUCCUUGGCCCGGGUGCACCUACUUUGGAUUCGCCCAGACUGCAAAUUUUUCUUUCCUUUUGCUGGGGCCACGGGACAGAGCACCUGGGCAGAGCAAGCGGAGAGGCGCCACAUCCCCGAGAGGCGCUUCGUAGUUGUCCUUGGACCGGGCGCAGACACUCAGUAUUGGUCAGCGCUGGAAAUUUUCUUUCCUUUUGCUGUUGGGGCCGCAGAACCAGUCUCCUCCUUUCCCCUGCUCAGACAAAGGGCACGGGAAGGGCUUUGCUGGGGCAAAGGGGGGUGGGGGGUUCUCUGUCCCACGACAGAUGGGUCGCGGUUAAGACUUUAAUUGCUGACUUUUGGGCCGGAUCAGAUUCCUUUUCCUACCUGCCACUUCCCAGCAGCGAAAAAUCCCCCUCCUGCUGCACUCCUCCGCCACCGGGCUAGGUUGAAAGGAAAAAGCCAAGAAGCGCGAAGCAGCCCGGCUCUGGAAGGCUUUGGAGAGUCCAGCUGACUUGUACACAAUUCGCGGCCUCUGGAGCCUUACCUGCCUUCUUGACUGAAUGCCACCAGUUCGUUUUACGCUUGUGGCUUUUUGUUGAAGUCCCUAUCAUAAGCAAAUGCAGUUUCUGGCUAUGGUUACUGCAAUUCGAAAUAAAAGGCCUGUGAGGUGUGUCCCUCCAGACUGAGAGGCUAUGACUCAGGGUUGGACUUUAUGGAAAAAAAGAAGUUUAUAAAACAAGUAACCCAGUUUCUCCAACCUUUACUGUGGAGCAACAGCGUCAAGCAACAAAACCCAGCAAAGUUUUGCUUGUCACUUACAAGGGUGUUACUGAAAUCUGGAAGGCGAACAAUUAGAAGAUAGCCCAAACAUGCUCUAUUGCUCUACACUGAAAUACUUGCCUCCAAUAAUAGAAAAAACCUGUUUUCGUGCAAUUGAUUGAUUAGCGUUCUGCAGCAGUCCCUGGACAAUUUUAAAGACAUUUUGUGUUUGUGGCCAAAAUUAGAAACAAGCAGACACACACACAAAACAACCAUAUUCAAGACACGGUUCGACUGUUUCCUUGACACUACCCACGAAGUUUAAAGCAUUUUUUAUGUUAUUUUCAAACUUUCUUAAGUGAUCCCAUGAAAUAAAAGUCGAUAAUAGAAAUUAAAACAACACAGAGCAAAGAACGAGCUUAGUGAAAUGGAGAAGCAGUAGAGGUAAAUAAAAAUCCUCGAGCUAGAAAGCUCUAAGAACCGCUUAUAAAUUCAGUUACCUCCUGAACUCCGGCCGAUGGCCACUCCGGCCCGGGAGUGCCCCGCGCCGACCCGCUGGCCUUGGCCGUCUCAGCCUUCAUUAUCGCCACGGCCUUGGCGCCCCCUGCCCCCGGCUGCCCAGGGGAACCAAGUUCCCGCUGCUGGAGUUGGGGCAGAGGAGCCCCGCCUCAUUCAGGAUUCGGUGGCCAGCGCAGAGCCAUUUGAAUAGAAGAAGCCCGAAGUGAAACAGAAAAGCUGAAAACUCCCCGGCUGGGCUCUCCACUUCUCGGUUCUUGCUCACGAGUUCCAAACAGUUAAAGUGACGUUGGCAAGGCCGAGGGCCACCGAGCUCUGUGAGACUCCCUUGGAGGGGUCAGGAAACUUAGCUCGAGAAGCUUGGAGGCGGCUGGGAGUUGGGGCGCAACUUCAGUGACCGGGCGCCGCUGCCGGGCUGGGGCUCCCAAGCGUCCGGCUCCCGGGGUGGUCGACGCGGCGCUGCCUUCGAUCAGGUCCCGCCGACCUCGGGCCUCUGGACCACCACCGCCCCAGCUGGUCUGGCAACCCAUCCCGGGCGCAAUCGCGCUCCUCCCCUUCUCCUCUGCAUUCCCGCAGGUCCUGGGGCGGCUCCAUCCCCCCAAGGCUGAGAGAUGGCGAGGGAGGCUCCAAAGAGUUUCGGGAGGGGGCGCCGGAUCUGGUUUAAGAGACCGCGGAACAGAUGGUGGAGAGCUCCUGGAUGAAAGUUUUUGAACAGGCACUCGCUAAUAGACUUGCUUUGACGACUCAGGGUGUAAUUGAAGGGUCAUUUAAUCUAGACGCAAGGUGAAAGAAAACAGGCCCGGGGGUGUGGCAUACCUAAGGAGGAACUAGAGCAUCUUUUCACUAGGUUUGCCUGUCAUUUUGACUUUCCUGGAAAAUACGUUCUUAAGUCAAAUUUUAAGAAUGUCUGAGAAGCAUCUCUGAGUAUCUCUUCCAAAAACCUUUCGUGUAUUUUUUUAGCCGACCUCCUUCCUCCGAGAAUCCUCCCUUUUGAAGCCGUUUGGCCUGUGCUUAAGAGUAGUUGGGGUCUCCUUAUGGUCCCAGGGCAAAGAGAAUUUUCUAACUAGAUUCUCCUGUUUAAGACCUUAACAGAAAGGCCUUUCUACCUUCCCUUCUUUGGCUUUACUCUCCAAUUUGUUCUUUCAUUCCCGAGUUCUCCCAGUGAAACCCUGCAUCUCCUCUAAAAGAGAGUAUUUCAUGGCUGUCCAAAGAGGGCCAUACCCCGUGGCCACCUCUCGCGGGCCUCCAUAGCCUCUGUAAAAGAGGAAGCACUCAGCCACUGGCCGGCCCCCUUUUGUUGAUGGAAGUGGAUGCUGUUCUGUUUCCUCCCUUCCCGCCCUUAGGCCUCUCCCAGACCAGAUUCUGCACGCCUUGUGCAUGUUUCAAGAGUUGAGCACUAAGAUCCAAUCCCAAGAAGAGGCUUGAUCCAUCAUUAAGAAAUCUUACUACCUUUUAAAAUGUUAUUGCCUUCUCACUUUAAAUUAAUUUAGAAGAUUUUUUUUUUCCCUCUUCCCACUGUCUCCUCUUACUUCAAGUUCAGUUAAUUCUCUGAAUUCACGAACAGUGGGGCUGCCCUCAUAGUUUCUCAGCAGUCCCACACAGAGGAAAAGGCUCCUGGAAACAACGCGAAGCUUUAAGCGCCCCGCGCGGGUGUU
RNAcentral lists this long non-coding RNA (4925 nucleotides) under Homo sapiens (human). Its description in RNAcentral is "non-protein coding FEZF1-AS1:14". The record is from RNAcentral. Lineage: Eukaryota; Metazoa; Chordata; Mammalia; Primates; Hominidae.